This 917-nucleotide ribosomal RNA is filed under the name uncultured bacterium. RNAcentral describes it as "bacterial SSU rRNA". It matches the Rfam family "Bacterial small subunit ribosomal RNA", at positions 33 to 941 of the family's 1533-position model. The record is from RNAcentral.
ACGCUAGCUACAGGCUUAACACAUGCAAGUCGAGGGGAAACGGCAUUAAGUGCUUGCACUUUUUGGACGUCGACCGGCGCACGGGUGAGUAACGCGUAUCCAACCUUCCCAUGACUAAGGGAUAACCUGCCGAAAGGCAGACUAAUACCUUAUGGUCUUCACUGACGGCAUCAGAUGUGAAGUAAAGAUUUAUCGGUUAUGGAUGGGGAUGCGUCUGAUUAGCUUGUUGGCGGGGUAACGGCCCACCAAGGCAACGAUCAGUAGGGGUUCUGAGAGGAAGGUCCCCCACAUUGGAACUGAGACACGGUCCAAACUCCUACGGGAGGCAGCAGUGAGGAAUAUUGGUCAAUGGGCGAGAGCCUGAACCAGCCAAGUAGCGUGCAGGAUGACGGCCCUAUGGGUUGUAAACUGCUUUUGUAUGGGGAUAAAGUCAGUCACGUGUGAUUGUUUGCAGGUACCAUACGAAUAAGGACCGGCUAAUUCCGUGCCAGCAGCCGCGGUAAUACGGAAGGUCCGGGCGUUAUCCGGAUUUAUUGGGUUUAAAGGGAGCGUAGGCUGGAGAUUAAGUGUGUUGUGAAAUGUAGACGCUCAACGUCUGACUUGCAGCGCAUACUGGUUUCCUUGAGUACGCACAACGUUGGCGGAAUUCGUCGUGUAGCGGUGAAAUGCUUAGAUAUGACGAAGAACUCCGAUUGCGAAGGCAGCUGACGGGAGCGCAACUGACGCUGAAGCUCGAAGGUGCGGGUAUCGAACAGGAUUAGAUACCCUGGUAGUCCGCACAGUAAACGAUGGAUGCCCGCUGUUGGUACCUGGUAUCAGCGGCUAAGCGAAAGCAUUAAGCAUCCCACCUGGGGAGUACGCCGGCAACGGUGAAACUCAAAGGAAUUGACGGGGGCCCGCACAAGCGGAGGAACAUG